RNAcentral lists this ribosomal RNA (452 nucleotides) under uncultured Levilinea sp. RNAcentral describes it as "bacterial SSU rRNA". It matches the Rfam family "Bacterial small subunit ribosomal RNA", at positions 917 to 1381 of the family's 1533-position model. The record is from RNAcentral. Lineage: Bacteria; Bacillati; Chloroflexota; Anaerolineae; Anaerolineales; Anaerolineaceae.
CGGGCCCGCACAAGCAGCGGAGCGUGUGGUUUAAUUCGAUGAUACACGAAGAACCUUACCAGGGUUUGACAUGCUAGUGGUAGGGAUCCGAAAGGUGACCGACCCUCGGGGAGCUAGCACAGGUGCUGCAUGGCUGUCGUCAGCUCGUGUCGUGAGAUGUUCGGUUAAGUCCGCUAACGAGCGCAACCCUUGCUGUGUGUUACAUGUGUCACACGGGACUGCCGGUCUUAAACCGGAGGAAGGUGGGGAUGACGUCAAGUCAGCAUGGCCUUUAUGUCCUGGGCUACACACACGCUACAAUGGCCGGUACAAUAGGUUGCGAAGCCGCGAGGCGGAGCCAAUCCUCAAAGCCGGCCUCAGUUCAGAUUGCAGGCUGCAACCCGCCUGCAUGAAGAUGGAGUUGCUAGUAACCGCAGGUCAGCUAUACUGCGGUGAAUACGUUCCCGGGGCUU